Molecule: ribosomal RNA, 365 nt
Filed under: uncultured organism
Description: bacterial SSU rRNA
Rfam family: Bacterial small subunit ribosomal RNA
Source: RNAcentral
CGGAGGAUCCAAGCGUUAUCCGGAAUCAUUGGGUUAAAGGGUCCGUAGGCGGUUUAGUAAGUCAGUGGUGAAAGCCCAUCGCUCAACGGUGGAACGGCCAUUGAUACUGCUAAACUUGAAUUAUUAGGAAGUAACUAGAAUAUGUAGUGUAGCGGUGAAAUGCUUAGAGAUUACAUGGAAUACCAAUUGCGAAGGCAGGUUACUACUAAUGGAUUGACGCUGAUGGACGAAAGCGUGGGUAGCGAACAGGAUUAGAUACCCUGGUAGUCCACGCCGUAAACGAUGGAUACUAGCUGUUGGGGGCAACUUCAGUGGCUAAGCGAAAGUGAUAAGUAUCCCACCUGGGGAGUACGUUCGCAAGAAUG